UACGGGGGGGGCAAGCGUUGUUCGGAAUUACUGGGCGUAAAGGGCUCGUAGGUGGCCAACUAAGUCAGACGUGAAAUCCCUCGGCUUAACCGGGGAACUGCGUCUGAUACUGGAUGGCUUGAGUUUGGGAGAGGGACGCGGAAUUCCAGGUGUAGCGGUGAAAUGCGUAGAUAUCUGGAGGAACACCGGUGGCGAAGGCGGCGACCUGGGUAGAUACUGACGCUGAGGCGCGAAAGCGUGGGGAGCAAACAGG
Molecule: ribosomal RNA, 253 nt
Filed under: uncultured bacterium
Lineage: Bacteria
Description: partial 16S ribosomal RNA
Rfam family: Bacterial small subunit ribosomal RNA
Source: RNAcentral